AUCUUGAUAAUGAUCUGGUCUCUUUUAUGUAUCUGAGAAAUGCCCUUCUUCUUAUCAUACCAAAUCUAAAGGCAUUCAUCUCCAUUUCCUUGGAGCUCUCUUUUAAUCCAUCUCUCCUUUCCACCCAGUGCCUGCAGUCAAGAGAGUGCAGGAAAGGCGAGGAGGGUCCCAGCUGCCCUGUUACUGCUUCUUAUAGCAACUCCCGAGGCAAUUACAUUCACCCCUUUCUAAAAUUCUCAAGCACCAAGUUUCGAGGAGCCCUUUUUGACCACCCUCAACCAGUCUCAAUCACACUAUUCAUCACUGACGGAAAGUCUCAUGUACAUCAGAGAGAAGACAGCUCAACUAGACCAGAAGGCCAGGGGACCCACUGCCAAGCUAAGGAGUUUGGCUGACAGUUUGAAGUGGUAAAGCCCAAAAUCAGUGCCAAGGCGGGGG
This 438-nucleotide long non-coding RNA is filed under the name Homo sapiens (human). RNAcentral's name for it is "non-protein coding lnc-GALNT10-2:1". The record is from RNAcentral. Lineage: Eukaryota; Metazoa; Chordata; Mammalia; Primates; Hominidae.